GACGAACGCUGGCGGCGUGCUUAACACAUGCAAGUCGAACGGAAAGGCCCUGCUUUUGUGGGGUGCUCGAGUGGCGAACGGGGGAGUAACACGUGAGUAACCUGCCCUUGACUGUGGGAUAACUUCAGGAAACUGGGGCUAAUACCGGAUAGGAGCUCCUGCUGCAGGGUGGGGGUUGGAAAGUUUCGGCGGUUGGGGAUGGACUCGCGGCUUAUCAGCUUGUUGGUGGGGUAGUGGCUUACCAAGGCUUUGACGGGUAGCCGGCCUGAGAGGGUGACCGGCCACAUUGGGACUGAGCUACGGCCCAGACUCCUACGGGAGGCAGCAGUGAGGAAUAUUGCACAAUGGGCGGAAGCCUGAUGCAGCCCAGCCGCGUGCGGGAUGACGGCCUUCGGGUUGUAAACCGCUUUCGCCUGUGACGAAGCGUGAGUGACGGUAAUGGGUAAAGAAGCACCGGCUAACUACGUG
This 468-nucleotide ribosomal RNA is filed under the name uncultured bacterium. RNAcentral's name for it is "partial 16S ribosomal RNA". It matches the Rfam family "Bacterial small subunit ribosomal RNA", at positions 28 to 507 of the family's 1533-position model. The record is from RNAcentral.